Molecule: ribosomal RNA, 440 nt
Filed under: uncultured bacterium
Lineage: Bacteria
Description: partial 16S ribosomal RNA
Rfam family: Bacterial small subunit ribosomal RNA
Source: RNAcentral
CCUACGGGUGGCUGCAGUGGGGAAUAUUGCACAAUGGGGGAAACCCUGAUGCAGCGACGCCGCGUGAGCGAUGAAGUAUUUCGGUAUGUAAAGCUCUAUCAGCAGGGAAGAAAAUGACGGUACCUGACUAAGAAGCCCCGGCUAACUACGUGCCAGCAGCCGCGGUAAUACGUAGGGGGCAAGCGUUAUCCGGAUUUACUGGGUGUAAAGGGAGCGUAGACGGCGGUGCAAGCCAGAUGUGAAAGCCCGGGGCUCAACCCCGGGACUGCAUUUGGAACUGUGCUGCUAGAGUGUCGGAGAGGCAGGCGGAAUUCCUAGUGUAGCGGUGAAAUGCGUAGAUAUCUGGAGGAACAUCAGUGGCGAAGGCGACUAUCUGGCACAUAACUGACGCUGAGGAGCGAAAGCGUGGGUAGCAAACAGGAUUAGAUACCCGGGUAGUC